AAGUCAUGACAGCUAGUCUGACGGAGCAUACCGCGUGAGGGAAGACUGCCUAUGGGUUGUAAACCUCUUUUUUCAGGGAGGAAUCAAUGACGUGUACCUGAAGAAUAAGCAUCGGCUAACUCCGUGCCAGCAGCCGCGGUAAGACGGAGGAUGCAAGUGUUAUCCGGAAUCACUGGGCGUAAAGCGUCUGUAGGUGGUUUAAUAAGUCAACUGUUAAAUCUUGAGGCUCAACUUCAAAAUCGCAGUCGAAACUAUUAGACUAGAGUAUAGUAGAGGUAAAGGGAAUUUCCAGUGGAGCGGUGAAAUGCGUAGAUAUUGGAAAGAACACCGAUGGCGAAAGCACUUUACUGGGCUAUUACUAACACUCAGAGACGAAAGCUAGGGUAGCAAAUGGGAUUAGAUACCCCCAGUAGUCCA
This 417-nucleotide ribosomal RNA is filed under the name uncultured bacterium. RNAcentral's name for it is "bacterial SSU rRNA". It matches the Rfam family "Bacterial small subunit ribosomal RNA", at positions 359 to 797 of the family's 1533-position model. The record is from RNAcentral.